RNAcentral lists this ribosomal RNA (390 nucleotides) under Triticum aestivum (bread wheat). Its description in RNAcentral is "partial small subunit ribosomal RNA". The record is from RNAcentral. Lineage: Eukaryota; Viridiplantae; Streptophyta; Magnoliopsida; Poales; Poaceae.
GAUAAUGUUGUGACAAGUGUUCGAACAAGUGAUGUCGACACUGAUGACUUCCCGAUUAAGAUAGGACUGCAUCAGGGGUCAGCUUUGAGCCCUUAUCUUUUUGCAUUGGUGAUGGAUGAGGUCACAAGGGAUAUACAAGGAGAUAUCCCAUGGUGUAUGCUCUUUGCAGAUGAUGUGGUGCUAGUUGACGAUAGUCGGGCGGGGGUAAAUAGGAAGUUGGAGUUAUGGAGACAAACCUUGGAAUCGAAAGGGUUUAGGCUUAGUAGGACUAAAACAGAGUACAUGAUGUGCGGUUUCAGUACUACUAGGUGUGAGGAGGAGGAAGUUAGCCUUGAUGGUCAGGUGGUACCUCAGAAGGACACCUUUCGGUAUUUGGGGUCAAUGCUGUAG